This 463-nucleotide ribosomal RNA is filed under the name uncultured Rhodoferax sp. RNAcentral's name for it is "bacterial SSU rRNA". It matches the Rfam family "Bacterial small subunit ribosomal RNA", at positions 917 to 1381 of the family's 1533-position model. The record is from RNAcentral. Lineage: Bacteria; Pseudomonadati; Pseudomonadota; Betaproteobacteria; Burkholderiales; Comamonadaceae.
GACGGGACCGCACAAGCGGUGGAUGAUGUGGUUAAUUCGAUGCAACGCGAAAACCUUACCCACCUUGACAUGUACGGAACCCUUUAGAGAUAGAGGGUGCUCGAAAGAGAGCCGUAACACAGGUGCUGCAUGGCUGUCGUCAGCUCGUGUCGUGAGAUGUGGGUUAAGUCCCGCAACGAGCGCAACCCUUGUCAUUAGUUGCUACAUUCAGUUGGGCACUCUAAUGAGACUGCCGGUGACAAGCCGGAGGAAGGUGGGGAUGACGUCAAGUCCUCAUGGCCCUUAUAGGUGGGGCUACACACGUCAUACAAUGGCUGGUACAAAGGGUUGCCAACCCGCGAGGGGGAGCCAAUCCCAUAAAGCCAGUCGUAGUCCGGAUCGUAGUCUGCAACUCGACUACGUGAAGUCGGAAUCGCUAGUAAUCGUGGAUCAGAAUGUCACGGUGAAUACGUUCCCGGGUCUU